Molecule: ribosomal RNA, 3441 nt
Filed under: Alkaliphilus pronyensis
Lineage: Bacteria; Bacillati; Bacillota; Clostridia; Peptostreptococcales; Natronincolaceae
Description: Alkaliphilus sp. LacV 23S ribosomal RNA
Rfam family: Bacterial large subunit ribosomal RNA
Source: RNAcentral
AGGUCAAGCUAAUAAGGGCAAAGGGUGGAUGCCUUGGCACCAGAAGCCGACGAAGGACGUGGUAAGCUGCGAAAAGUCUCGGGGAGCUGCAAGCAAGCUUUGAUCCGGGAAUGUCCGAAUGGGGAAACCCACUUGGAGUAAUGUCCAAGUAUCUAGUACUGAAUAAAUAGGUACUAGAAGGAAAACCAGGGGAACUGAAACAUCUAAGUACCCUGAGGAAGAGAAAGAAAAAUCGAUUCCCUAAGUAGCGGCGAGCGAAAGGGGAAAAGCCCAAACCGGGUGCUCAACUGAACUUUAGUACAGUUGAGAAGCUUAACAGAGUUGAGUUGAGCAUCCGGGGUUGAGGACAUAGAAUAAAUAAGGCAAGAAUGUAGAAGAAGAGGUCUGGAAAGGCCCACCGAAGAGGGUAAAAGUCCCGUAAGCGAAACAGGAAAGUCUUAAACUAUGCUCCAGAGUACCACGGGACACGAGAAACCCUGUGGGAAGCAGGGGGGACCACCCCCCAAGGCUAAAUACUAACUGGUGACCGAUAGCGCAUAGUACCGUGAGGGAAAGGUGAAAAGAACCCCGGGAGGGGAGUGAAAGAGAACCUGAAACCCUUUGCUUACAAACUGUGGGAGCCCUAUAUAGGGGUGACCGCGUACUUUUUGUAGAACGGGCCAACGAGUUAUGGUAAGAAGCAAGGUUAAGUACCUAAGGUACGAAGCCGAAGCGAAAGCGAGUCUUAAAAGGGCGAAAAAGUUAACUACCAUAGACCCGAAACCGGGCGACCUACCCAUGGACAGGAUGAAGCGGAAGUAAAAUUUCGUGGAGGUCCGAACCGAUUGACGUUGAAAAGUCACCGGAUGAGCUGUGGGUAGCGGUGAAAUUCCAAUCGAGCCCGGAGAUAGCUGGUUCUCGCCGAAAUAGCUUUAGGGCUAGCCUCGAGAAGAAGAGAUGCGGAGGUAGAGCACUGAAUGGUCUAGGGGCCUUCACCGGUUACCAAAACCUAUCAAACUCCGAAUGCCGUCAUCUUAAGCUCGGGAGUCAGACUGCGAGUGAUAAGAUCCGUAGUCAAGAGGGAAACAGCCCAGACCAUCAGCUAAGGUCCCAAAGUAUACGUUAAGUGGAAAAGGAUGUGGAGUUGCACAGACAACCAGGAUGUUGGCUUAGAAGCAGCCACUCAUUUAAAGAGUGCGUAAUAGCUCACUGGUCGAGUGAUUCUGCGCCGAAAAUUACCGGGGCUCAAACGUAUCACCGAAGCUAUGGGAGUUAGAGGUAAGAAGUGAGAAGUUAGAAGUCGGAAAAGAGAAAGAAAAAACAAAAGCUAGGAGAAGAAGAAAUGAUAAAAACCUACAAAGAUUUAGAAGUUUAUCAAAUCUCAUAUAAACUAGCAUUAAUAGUCCAUCAGAUGACAGAGCAAUUUCCUAAAUAUGAAACCUAUGAAAUAGGAAGUCAACUUAGAAGGGCAGCACUGUCAAUUCCGUUAAAUAUUGCAGAGGGAUAUGGAAAAAAAGAAUCUGCAAAAGAAUUCAAACGUUUUUUAAAUAUGACAUUAGGCUCGUGUAAUGAAAUAUAUGUACUUCUUGAUAUGAUAAAAGAUUUAGAGUAUAUAGAAAAAGAUAAAUACGAAGAGCUAGUAAAAUCAUAUGAAAUGUUAGGGAAACGGAUAUAUGUAUUAAUGAAAAGAUGGCAAUAAGGUUUUAACAAACCUCUAACCUCUGACUUCUUACCUCUAACUCGGUAGGCGAGCAUUCUGUAAAGGCAGAAGCUAAACCGGAAGGAUUAGUGGACAUUACAGAAGAGAGAAUGUUGGCAUGAGUAGCGAGAGGCAGGUGAGAAUCCUGCCCGUCGAAAACCUAAGGAUUCCUGAGGAAGGCUCGUCCGCUCAGGGUAAGUCGGGACCUAAGCCGAGGCCGAAGGGCGUAGGCGAUGGACAACAGGUUGAGAUUCCUGUACCACCGGAUAUCGUUAGAGAGAAGGGGUGACACAGAAGGAUAGGUCAAGCGCACCGUUGGUUGAGUGCGUCUAAGCAGGUAGGGAGUUAAGAAAGGCAAAUCCGUCUUAACAAAUCCUGAGAAGUGAUGGGGAGCGAAAUAAAGUAGCGAACUGACUGAUUCCACACUGGCAAGAAAAGCCUCUAUCGAGAUAAAAGGUGCCCGUACCGCAAACCGACACAGGUAGGUGAGGAGAGAAUCCUAAGACGAACGGGAAAACUAUUGUUAAGGAACUCGGCAAAAUGACCCCGUAACUUCGGGAGAAGGGGUGCCAGAAUUGGUGAAGGACAUGCUCCGUAAGCCAAAACUGGCCGCAGAGAAUAGGCCCAAGCGACUGUUUAGCAAAAACAUAGGUCUCUGCAAAGUCGAAAGACGAAGUAUAGGGGCUGACGCCUGCCCGGUGCUGGAAGGUUAAGGGGAAGUGUAAGGGAAACCAAAGCACAGAACUUAAGCCCCAGUAAACGGCGGCCGUAACUAUAACGGUCCUAAGGUAGCGAAAUUCCUUGUCGGGUAAGUUCCGACCCGCACGAAAGGCGUAACGAUUUGGGCGCUGUCUCAACAAUAGACCCGGUGAAAUUGUAAUACCAGUGAAGAUGCUGGUUACCCGCGACAGGACGGAAAGACCCCGUGGAGCUUUACUGUAGCCUGACAUUGGAUUUUGGUACUACAUGUACAGGAUAGGUGGGAGACUAAGAAACCAGUACGCCAGUAUUGGAGGAGUCGCUGUUGGGAUACCACUCUUGUAGUAUUGAAGUUCUAACCAUGGGCCGUGAAACCGGUCUUGGGACACUGUCAGGUGGGCAGUUUGACUGGGGCGGUCGCCUCCCAAAAAGUAACGGAGGCGCCCAAAGGUUCCCUCAGCACGGUCGGAAAUCGUGCGAAGAGUGCAAAGGCAAAAGGGAGCUUGAUUGCGAGACAAACAGGUCGAGCAAGGACGAAAGUCGGGCUUAGUGAUCCGGUGGUUCCGAGUGGAAGGGCCAUCGCUCAACGGAUAAAAGCUACCCCGGGGAUAACAGGCUUAUCUCCCCCAAGAGUCCACAUCGACGGGGAGGUUUGGCACCUCGAUGUCGGCUCAUCACAUCCUGGGGCUGAAGUAGGUCCCAAGGGUUGGGCUGUUCGCCCAUUAAAGUGGUACGCGAGCUGGGUUCAGAACGUCGUGAGACAGUUCGGUCCCUAUCCGUCGCGGGCGCAGGAAAUUUGAGAGGAGCUGUCCUUAGUACGAGAGGACCGGGAUGGACAUACCACUGGUGUACCAGUUGUCUUGCCAAAGGCAUCGCUGGGUAGCUAAGUAUGGCAGGGAUAAGUGCUGAAGGCAUCUAAGCACGAAGCCCCCCUCAAGAUAAGAUUUCCCAUCCGAAAGGAGUAAGACCCCAGAGAGACUAUCUGGUUGAUAGGUCAGAGGUGUAAGUGCAGUAAUGUACUAAGCUGACCGAUACUAAUAGGUCGAGGGCUUGACCAAUAAAAC